RNAcentral lists this unclassified non-coding RNA (256 nucleotides) under Hevea brasiliensis (rubber tree). The record is from RNAcentral. Lineage: Eukaryota; Viridiplantae; Streptophyta; Magnoliopsida; Malpighiales; Euphorbiaceae.
UGCUUUUCAAGGUUAAUUAUUAUUUGUUCAAUUUUCAAAAAGAAUAAGUCAGAUUCUUUUUAUUUUCCUCAGAGAAUUGAUAACUAUUCAGAGGCUCAGAUUCUUCCUCUUUGUUCUUCUUUUGCUUAUCUAUUGCAUUUUCUUGGAGGAGCUCAAUCAAAUUAUGUGGUGGUGUUAGAGGUAGAGCCUAUCAUUCUUCUAUUAUUUACUGAAAUGACUUGAUGAAAUGCAGAUAGCAGGCCCAAGCUGAUUGCUG